UACAGAGGAUGCAAGCGUUAUCCGGAAUGAUUGGGCGUAAAGCGUCUGUAGGUGGCUUUUUAAGUCCGCCGUCAAAUCCCAGGGCUCAACUCUGGACAGGCGGUGGAUACUGCAGGGCUAGAGUCCGGAAGAGGCGAGUGGAAUUCCUGGUGUAGCGGUGGAAUGCGCAGAUAUCAGGAGGAACACCAACGGCGAAGGCAGCUCGCUGGGACGGUACUGACGCUGAGGCGCGAAAGCGUGGGGAGCGAACAGG
RNAcentral lists this ribosomal RNA (253 nucleotides) under uncultured bacterium. Its description in RNAcentral is "partial 16S ribosomal RNA". It matches the Rfam family "Bacterial small subunit ribosomal RNA", at positions 524 to 776 of the family's 1533-position model. The record is from RNAcentral.